UCUUGAUAAAACAUAAGAGGUCCAGCCUGCCCAGUGACAAAGUUUAACGGCCGCGGUACCCUAACCGUGCGAAGGUAGCAUAAUCACUUGUUCUUUAAAUGAGGACUCGUAUCAACGGCACUACGAGGGCUAUACUGUCUCCUUUUUCCAAUCAGUGAAACUGAUCUCCCCGUGAAGAAGCGGGGAUGAAAAUAUAAGACGAGAAGACCCCAUGGAGCUUUAAACUCACCAUGCACCUCUAUGCCCUUAUAUCACUAAACAUAAGACACCUGCAUGAUAGUUUUAGGUUGGGGGGACCACGGAGUAUAAUAUAACCUCCACAACAAAUGGGCUAACACCCUUAUCCACGAGACACAACUCUAAGAAUUAUUAAACUAAUGCUUAUGACCCGAUAAUCGAUCAAUGAACCAAGUUACCCUGGGGAUAACAGCGCAAUCUACUUCAAGAGCCCAUAUCGACAAGUAGGUUUACGACCUCGAUGUUGGAUCAGGGUAUCCCAGUGGUGCAGCCGCUACUAAUGGUUCGUUUGUUCAACGA
Molecule: ribosomal RNA, 537 nt
Filed under: Rana zhengi
Lineage: Eukaryota; Metazoa; Chordata; Amphibia; Anura; Ranidae
Description: partial 16S ribosomal RNA
Rfam family: Bacterial large subunit ribosomal RNA
Source: RNAcentral